UGGGGAAUAUUGGACAAUGGGCGAAAGCCUGAUCCAGCCAUGCCGCGUGUGUGAAGAAGGUCUUCGGAUUGUAAAGCACUUUAAGUUGGGAGGAAGGGCAGUAAGCGAAUACCUUGCUGUUUUGACGUUACCGACAGAAUAAGCACCGGCUAACUCUGUGCCAGCAGCCGCGGUAAUACAGAGGGUGCAAGCGUUAAUCGGAAUUACUGGGCGUAAAGCGCGCGUAGGUGGUUCGUUAAGUUGAACGUGAAAGCCCCGGGCUCAACCUGGGAACUGCAUCUAAAACUGGCGAGCUAGAGUAGGGCAGAGGGUGGUGGAAUUUCCUGUGUAGCGGUGAAAUGCGUAGAUAUAGGAAGGAACACCAGUGGCGAAGGCGACCACCUGGGCUCAUACUGACACUGAGGUGCGAAAGCGUGGGGAGCAAACAGG
RNAcentral lists this ribosomal RNA (429 nucleotides) under Pseudomonadota bacterium. RNAcentral's name for it is "Proteobacteria bacterium partial 16S ribosomal RNA". It matches the Rfam family "Bacterial small subunit ribosomal RNA", at positions 355 to 776 of the family's 1533-position model. Lineage: Bacteria; Pseudomonadati; Pseudomonadota. The record is from RNAcentral.